GCACCAAAUUUGAAGUCUUGAACUCCAAGAUCGAUCCUGAACAUUGCCAAGAAAGUGUCAUAAUCGUUUCUUUCAACUAGCUUGGGAAAUCCCCAACCAUAGUGGGCUUGGAGCUAUGAGGGAAUUAGGAGUGGCCACCCGUUCUAAAAGUUUGAUUUUCUUCUGGUGAACUGGACAUCCUUUUAUUUACGUUUGAAGUUUUUGGGCUUUUAAAUGUAAAAAGGCCGCUUAAUUAUUUUUGAUGGUUUUAAUAUGUAUUACUAAGAUAGGUAAUACUUAUUUUAA
This is a long non-coding RNA of Gossypium arboreum, 285 nucleotides long. RefSeq lists it as uncharacterized. NCBI's taxonomy places the organism in Eukaryota, Viridiplantae, Streptophyta, Magnoliopsida, Malvales, Malvaceae. The record is from RefSeq and is a predicted model, not a curated record. The transcript is spliced from 2 exons.